ACGGCUCAGUAACACGUGGACAAUCUGCCCUAUCGUGGUGAAUAAUCUCGGGAAACUGAGGGUAAUACACCAUAGGCCUCCGGCACUGGAAUGUCCGGAGACCCAAAGCUCCGGCGCGAUAGGAUGAGUCUGCGGAUGAUUAGCUAGUAGGCGGUGUAAUGGACCACCUAGGCUAUAAUCAUUAAGGGUCUUGAGAGAGAUAGCCCUGAGACGGAAUCUGAGACACUAUUCCGAGCCUUACGGGGUGCAGCAGGCGCGAAAACUUUGCAAUACACGAAAGUGUGACAAGGGGAUUCCAGGUGUGCAUAUACCAUAUGCACUUUUUCGAAGUUUAAAACGCUUUGGGAAUAAGGGGUGGGCAAGACUAGUGCCAGCCGCCGCGGUAAAACUAGCAUCUCGAGUGGCAGCCACAAUUACUGGGCUUAAAGCGUCCGUAGCUCGUUCAGAAAGUCCCCGGUGAAACCCUACGGCUUAACCGUAGGGCUUGCCAGGGAAACUCCUGGACUUGAAGGCAGGAGAGGUCAGGGGUACGUCUGGGGUAGGGGUGAAAUCCUAUAAUCCUAGACGGACCAACAGUGGCGAAGGCGCCUGACAUGAAUGCGCUUGACAGUGAGGGACGAGAGCCAGGGUCGCGAAACGGAUUAGAUACCCGUGUAGUCCUGGCCGUAAACGAUGUUGACUAGGUGGGGCGUGACCUUAGCGGUCAUGCUAUGCCGAAGGGAAACCGUUAAGUCAACCGCCUGGGGAGUACGACCGCAAGGUUGAAACUUAAAGGAAUUGGCGGGGGAGCAC
This 792-nucleotide ribosomal RNA is filed under the name uncultured archaeon. Its description in RNAcentral is "bacterial SSU rRNA". It matches the Rfam family "Archaeal small subunit ribosomal RNA", at positions 85 to 879 of the family's 1478-position model. The record is from RNAcentral.